This 252-nucleotide ribosomal RNA is filed under the name uncultured bacterium. Its description in RNAcentral is "partial 16S ribosomal RNA". It matches the Rfam family "Bacterial small subunit ribosomal RNA", at positions 524 to 776 of the family's 1533-position model. The record is from RNAcentral.
UACGUAGGUGGCAAGCGUUAUCCGGAAUUACUGGGCGUAAAGGGUGCGUAGGUGGUUUCUUAAGUCAGAGGUGAAAGGCUACGGCUCAACCGUAGUAAGCCUUUGAAACUGGGGAACUUGAGUGCAGGAGAGGAGAGUGGAAUUCCUAGUGUAGCGGUGAAAUGCGUAGAUAUUAGGAGGAACAUCAGUUGCGAAGGCGGCUCUCUGGACUGUAACUGACACUGAGGCACGAAAGCGUGGGGAGCAAACAGG